CAUAGCCUAACGGCUGAACCAGCAACUUGGAGGAAUGUAUAGCUAAUGCUAAAUGUAUUUUGUAAUAAUACAGAUUCGAUUUAUUCGUAUAAAGUUCUAGAUAGAAUUAUGAUAAUGACAUUGUCUAUCUAUAAGUCUUGGCCAAAUUACGUGCCAGCAGUCGCGGUAAGACGUAAAAGACUAGUGUUAUUCAUCUUUAAUAGGUUUAAAGCGUACCUAGACGGUAAAUCAAGCCUUAACCGGGACUAAUUUAACUAGAGUUAGAUGUAAGGGUGCAUUAACGUACUGUUGAGUGUAGAGAUGAAAUUCUUUUAUACCAGAUUAUUGGCACGGGUUUAGGCGAAAGCAUCACCUUAUGUAAUAACUGACGUUGAGGGACGAAGGCUUUGUGUCGCGAACAGGAUUAGGUACCCCAGUAGUCUAAGCAGAAAAUGAUGAGUGUCAUAGGUUAAAUAUUAUUUGGUCUAUAAAUGAAAGUGUAAGCAUUCCACCUCAAGAGUAAUUUGGCAACAUUGGAAUUGAAAUCAUUAGACCGUUUCUGAAACCAGUAGUGAAGUAUGUUGUUUAAUUUGAUAAUACACAAAAAACCUUACCACAAUUUGAAUAUUUUACAAGUGUUGCACGGCUGUCUUCAGUUAAUGUCGUGAGAUUAUGGUUAGUUCCAUUAAAUUAACGUAAACCCUUACUUUAUUUUAUAAAAUAUAAAGUUGUUCGCCGCUAGAUUGGUUAGAUAAAAGGGACUAAGACAAGUCAUCAUGGCCUUAAUAUUGU
RNAcentral lists this ribosomal RNA (771 nucleotides) under Scytinium quadrifidum. RNAcentral describes it as "mitochondrial SSU rRNA". It matches the Rfam family "Bacterial small subunit ribosomal RNA", at positions 370 to 1210 of the family's 1533-position model. Lineage: Eukaryota; Fungi; Ascomycota; Lecanoromycetes; Peltigerales; Collemataceae. The record is from RNAcentral.